CAGCAGCCACGGUAAUACGGAAGGUCCGGGCGUUAUCCGGAUUUAUUGGGUUUAAAGGGAGCGUAGGCCGUGGAUUAAGCGUGUUGUGAAAUGCAGGUGCUCAACGUCUGCACUGCAGCGCGAACUGGUCCACUUGAGUGUGCGCAACGCAGGCGGAAUUCGUCGUGUAGCGGUGAAAUGCUUAGAUAUGACGAAGAACUCCGAUUGCGAAGGCAGCUUGCGGGAGCACAACUGACGCUGAAGCUCGAAAGUGCGGGUAUCGAACAGGAUUAGAUACCCCUGUAGUCCCUGUCUCUUAUAC
RNAcentral lists this ribosomal RNA (301 nucleotides) under uncultured bacterium. RNAcentral describes it as "partial 16S ribosomal RNA". It matches the Rfam family "Bacterial small subunit ribosomal RNA", at positions 509 to 807 of the family's 1533-position model. The record is from RNAcentral.